AUGGUGAUUGAAGAGCAUUAUUUAGGUGACACUCCAGAGAUGUGUUCUCCAGGCUUCAUGACUGUGGUUCUCUUAAUGCUUGGACAAACCCAUGGAGACUCAGUGACCCAGACGGAGGGCCCAGUGACCCUCUCAGAAGAAGCUUCCCUGACUAUAAACUGUACUUAUUCAACAACAGGGUCUGCCGCUCUUUUCUGGUAUGUCCAAUAUCCUGGUGAGGGUCUACAGCUCCUACUCAAUGCCUUUAGUGAUAAGAAGAAAAGCAAGAAAGGAUUUGAAGCCACCUUCGACAGCAAAUCCAAAUCCUUCCACUUGGAGAAAGGCUCAGUGCAAGCGUCAGAUUCAGCUGUGUAUUACUGUGCCAUGAGUGACACAGUGACGGGGACUGCAGGGGGAGCUGAGCACAAACUCUGA
Odobenus rosmarus divergens (Pacific walrus) is the source of this 414-nucleotide non-coding RNA. NCBI's taxonomy places the organism in Eukaryota, Metazoa, Chordata, Mammalia, Carnivora, Odobenidae. The record is from the annotation of a RefSeq genome assembly.